GCGGGCGUAGCCAAAUUGGUAGAGGCGCACGGCUUAGGACCGUGUGGGGUAACCCGUGGGGGUUCGAGUCCUCCCGCCCGCA
Molecule: transfer RNA, 82 nt
Filed under: bacterium
Lineage: Bacteria
Description: tRNA-Leu
Rfam family: tRNA
About the family: Transfer RNA (tRNA) molecules are approximately 80 nucleotides in length.
Source: RNAcentral